GGAGGGGGCUAGCGUUGUUCGGAAUUACUGGGCGUAAAGGGCGCGUAGGCGGUAUGCCAUGUCAGGGGUGAAAGGCCUGGGCUCAACCCAGGAACUGCCUUUGAAACUGGCAAACUAGAGUCCGAUAGAGGAUGGCGGAAUUCCCAGUGUAGAGGUGAAAUUCGUAGAUAUUGGGAAGAACACCAGUGGCGAAGGCGGCCAUCUGGAUCGGCACUGACGCUGAGGCGCGAAAGCGUGGGGAGCAAACAGGGAUUAGAUACCCUGGUAGUCCACGCCGUAAACGAUGUGUGCUAGACGUUGGGGGGCCUUAGGCCCCUGGGUGUCGCAGCUAACGCGUUAAACACACCGCCUGGGGAGUACGGCCGCAAGGUUA
Molecule: ribosomal RNA, 373 nt
Filed under: uncultured organism
Description: partial 16S ribosomal RNA
Rfam family: Bacterial small subunit ribosomal RNA
Source: RNAcentral